UCCGUUAGAGUGCUUGACCUACAGUGGCUGCUGGCACACCCUGAGGACAUUCUCCGGCUCUGCUUUACAAGAUCAGGGUUUACGUUGUCCUGCCUUCUGCUGGGUCCUAUAAACACCAGACAAUGCAUUUUGUAAGAGUUUCCUAUUGAUGGUUUGUUUUCAUCUGAUGGUUUUAGCAUGGCUUUUUGUAUACCACCAACACAUAGUCACAUUUUUGCAGCUUUAUACUGAUUAUUGUUGCUGGGAUAAGCACUGCAGCUGACCCCACUAUUUGCACAGAAAUGAAUCCGUUGUUGAUCCUGCAGCCUUGCAGUGGGUGUACUGGUUGCAUGGCUGGCAGCUUUCUUUUCCAGGCAACAUGAGGCCACAUCAGGCAAUUGAAUUGACCCAGACAGAAAUGCAAUAGCGCUUAGGACUUUUUUGAGGCACUUCACAAGAAUUUUACCUCUUCAGCUACCAAACCUGUGGCUUUAAUACAUCAUGGAAGAAUUCCAGUCUCUGGUACAGUUAGUAGUAACUUUCAACUUUAAGGCUGUAAUCAUGUAACAUAGAAAUCAGGUGAAUAUUUUUCAUAAGUGUCAAUUCUAAUAGAUCUGUUUACUUACAGUAAAAUGUAUUUGCGUUCCUAUGCACCACUUUCCUUCCCUCCAACCCAUUCAUCUACUUCUCCACCAAAUCAAAGAUUUCCACCUCCAAAUGGAAAUGAUCACCUAUCAGAGGCCCUUCUGGACCAUUUUUUCCAUUAGUUUGCUAAUCCAAUCUGCAGUGCAGAGCCAGGGGUAAGAAAUUGUCCAAGUAUGAGGAGGUGUAGAAAGAAGCCGAAACAUGAUUUGUGUAAUGCUAGAGUUGAACCUAAAGCUGUGAAAAACAUAUAAAUAACGUAAAAUAUGCUCAGGUUUGAGUAAGCUUUAGUUGUUAAGUGUUCUGCCCAAAAGUGGCAUUUCAGUGGGCUUAGAACUGUUCAAAAAGUCAGCAUAAAUUUUUCAUUUUUGAGGGUGAGAGGGAGAAAAGAGAAAGAGAUACAUAAUGAUAGAUUACUUGAUUUAAAAGCCACCUGUCUCCUUUCUUUCAAUAGUUCAUUUGGCAAGGGACUCAUUCAAAAUGCAGAAAAUAAGGCUUUAGUUUCCUCAUCUGCCUGAGGAGAUCUGAGCCCACCUUAAUUUCCCAGUAACAGCCCCUAAUCACCAGACCGUUCAGUAUCUCACAGUGCAGGAGGGAGAGAGAAGAAAGAUUGUUUUUUCAAUACCUCCGAUGGAAUAUAUUCUACUUUGUUUACAAUAUUGAAAUAUUCAUGACAGUGAUGUCCUGCCUCUCCGCUGCAGAGCCUAAACACCAUGAUAUAGAGUUGUUCUCUCUGGCUUAAUGAAUAUUUCAAUAUUCUAUAUACAGUGGAACAACAUCAACAGGGGAAAAAAAACAAAACAGAAAGUAUUUCCCAGCAGAAAAUUCCCCCAUGAAAUAGCUGUAACUUCCUUCUCUAGGUUCAGAUCUCUGUGUGAAAAGUGAGAACUGAACCCCAAUCUUCUACCUCCUGGCUGGACUUUGCAACCACUGAGAAAAGAGGUGGCAGUGCUUGUUUGGGGCAUUUUUAAAAAAUAUUAUUUCCUUUUUUUUUUUAAUGGAAGAGGCCAAAAUAGAAAUGUGUUGCUUUAUUUUUUCAUUUAAUCAAGAAAACUUCAUAUUAGUUCAUUGGGCCUUGCCAGGUUUUGUUCCCAAACUUGAGAAUUUGUUAAUUUGCAUGCCUCCUGACUUAUAAUUGGUGGAAAAGUAUCAGGGGAAGGUAAGAUAAAUUUGCAGCUGUCUAAUGUGAAGAUCAAAAAAUACUCUCUGGAAAUAUGAUGUUAGCAAUUUUGGAGUUACCUUCUGAUUGUCUGCUAAUGAUGUAAGAUCAAAUAUAGUCCAUUUACAAAUUAAAAGGGUUUGUGGGUUUUUUUUUUCCCUUUACUGGUAGAUACAGAAAUUCCACAUGAAAGUUGUUUGCUCCAUGAACAUGGGGAGCAGGUCUUUCAAAUAAGGACUAUUUCUGAACACAUGCUUUUCAGGGUAUUGCUGCUGUUUUAGAAAUGACCUGUUGGAUUUACUUCAAACCUUAGCAGAAAAAUAUCUCUCCUGGCUGUACACCAAAGUACCUGAAAUUUCAGGCUGUUGGGGGUUGUCCUACCUCUAUUUUUUGAUCAAAGUGGGAGUAAGAGGUUCACAAUCUGGUUUAUUAAGAACAAUGUCAUACAGCUUUAAAUGUAACCCUUUUAGUUUUUUACCGUUUUACCUUUUUGGUUAAGAUGAGUUGCAAUUCAUGCCAAAAAAUGCCCUGCCAGCACUGAGGCUCCUGUUUCAUUGCUUUAUUAGGUCUUGAGCUACAUGAUUAGCCUGAGGGAUAGAUUCACAAAUAACAGCUGCUCAGCUGGGGUGUUUCCUUAAUCCAUGCUUCUCCCUUUCAGAAUCAAAGCCAUACCGAGGUACGAGAAAAUUAUCUCUACCCUACAGAGCUCUAUAGAGUGAGUAGAGAAGCGAAUAAAUGGGCAUGUCUCUACUGGAAAUCUUGUAGAGGCUAAGAUGAGAAAACUGCACUUCAAUGAUGGAAAUACUCUCUGUUGACACAUUUAAUCUAAAUUAAUUUUUUCGUCUUUAUGCAGCAAACUAAGAUCUAAACUGCCUGGGGCAUUGGAAAAAGCAAGCCCCAAAAGAUAGCUGUAACCAUGCUGUGGUGUAAGCAGUACCAUGGAAGUGCUGAGAAUGUUUUUAGUGCUAAUUAUUGUACAUAAUAAAACAUAUUUAUCUUCCUGCUUAGGAAAUCCUGUGGAUGUGCUGCAUUCGUCCAUUCCUACCGCUCUGAUACUUUCCUUCAUAUAUACUUAGUAAUAUUUUUCAUAAAGAAAAUAGUAAGAAAAUAUAAAAUAUGGAACCCAAUUAUUUACUUAUUUACUCUGACAUAAAUAGCAGCAGUUUCACUGAGCUCAAUUAACCUAAGCGUCAAUUGAUGAAAUCACUCUGGAGUUAUUGGUUGCAAUAGAAACUUACUCUUUUAUAUUAAUUGGAAAACUGGUUAACUGAAGCUAAAGUGGUAUGAAUGAAAGUAAAUGAGAAGAGAAUCAGUACCAUUUGUUUAUUGUUUUUAUAUCUACUGUGGUUUUCUGAUACUGUUAUGUGAAAUAAUUCAAUGAGUAUCUUACAGCCAGCUAAGUAGAACCUGAUGGCAAAACCCCCUGUCUAUUUUCUAGCUGUAAUGAACCAAAUUCCUUUAAUACUAAGACCACUCUUCUCUGUCUGAAAGUUUUUGGAUGUGUUUGGGAUAUAUUUUGAGAUAACAGGAAUUAUUGUGCUAGUUGCAGAAAGAUUUUCUGUCACUUUAUCAGCCUGAGUUUUUGAAGUCAGACCCAUAGGGUAAGUAGGGCUGCAUUAAGAGGUGAAAUACAAAUCAAAGGGAAGAAAAACAUGACUUUUAAUUCUUGGCCUAUCGGACUCAUGUGGAUAUGUACUCUCCAUGCACACGAGUGUGUUCGUGCAUAAUUGGAGCUCAAGAGAAGGUUGAGGGAGUAGAUGCAAGAUAAAUGGUUCCUAUAAGAGCAACAUGCCCAGUACUUUUUUUGUAAUUUUAAAGCAUCUCUCUCCUCUGAAGAAAUUAUUACAGUUAUUGUCCCUUCAUUACUCUAGAGGUCUGUUUUCUGCAAGGAUUGAGCAUAAAAUAUGCCACUGCUAGUGACAUAAAUAGUGUUUUAUUUCUGCUAGCUGUGCAGAAAAGCACUUCAGGGAGAGGGAAGUAGGAUUCUGCCCUUCCUUUUGCCUCAUGGAGGGAAUAUCUGACUAGUUUCCCAUCAAGACUUCACUCUGUAUAGCUAUAAAAGUGGUGGAAUUACAGAGUUGUAUUUCAGACAAUGAUUUGAAGCUUUGCAUAGGUCAAAGUCAGGCCAUACCCUCUGUCAGCUCGAAGGGAGAUGGACGGGAACCGGCACGUAUCUGAAAGUCUGAGGAUGUAAUUGCUGACUUUCUGCAGAGCUGACUGAGAUGCAAAGUCAAACCAGCAUUCUGGAUUGGACAUUUCACGUGUGAAACUGGCACCAAACUUCAAAAAGAAGCAAACACGGGGAAUCUGAGUGACAAUACAAGUCCCUAGGACUCACUGAGAGGUCCAGCCUUGAACCUCUAUCCAGACUGAGGCCAGUUUACACCAGCUGUGAUAUAAGAACAUGAAACUGCAUAGAAGAUAGGCUAAGCAUCUUCCCUAUGAAUGCUCAAAAUCAGAAGGGCUUUAUUUUCAGUUUUCCAAUGGAAAAAGUAUGAGGGACACCAUUUUAGCUCAAACCCCAAGUCUUGUUGACAACAGGAUGAUUCUAGUUAAAUGGCUUCUGUCAGGACAAGUCACUUGCAAGCCCAAUUUUUUUACUUUUAAUAAGAUGUAAGAUCUAGCACCUUUGAAGUCCAGAGUUUUUAAAUAUCCAAGACACCCAGAACCCAACUGCCUUCAAAUUACUUCAGUGGGAGUUAGAUACUUACCUGUUUUUGAAGAACUGGUUGAACUGAUACAUAAAAAUGGGACUUCAGUUCUGAAAGAUCUCCACAAUUUUUGAAUCCAUUUCUUUUUCUAAUUGUGUAGCAUGUAAGUGUGGUUUGGCAAAACUUUGUCAUAAAAUGAAAUCCAAGGAUAACUUCGGACUUAAUUUUUUUCAUACUUUCCAGCAUCAGUGGUAACUUCAGUAAUUGGGUAUGGUCUGGCCCCAUUCCUAAUUCUGAUACAGAGCAGAGGGUACUUGAUACAAAACCGUGAACUAUUUUUAGACAAUAUAAAAGAAAUUAGCUACAUGAAUGGCUGCUGUGCAGCAGAGUGCACUGAAGGGUCUUUUAAAAAAAUACGCCAAGUCUGGAGGACAGAGACAUGUUUUCAUGACUUGUAAACCUGGUUACUGCAAGGUGAGCAUUUCCUUCACAUUUCUUAUUUGGGCCCUAAAUCAGUGACUCUCACAUGAGCAUGCAUAUGAACAACCACCAGCAGAUGAAUAGGACAGUUCCUGAGCAUCAUCUGAACUGAUCUGUCUCUGUAGGCUAUGGCAUAGUCACUGCUUCCUUAAAGUCCAACAAUGAGUAGUUCCCUUUUGCAACCAGUUCCCCAAACUGGCCCAGGGAUACAUGAAGCCCUUCACAGCAUUGCCAAAACAGAAAAGAAAUGAACUGUUCAACCAGCCCAGACAUCAUUUAUCUUUAAUAUUAGUGCUCCUGGUGCCUUGAGCCCAAAUGCAACUGUGUAUAAGAUGGAAGUAUGAGGCCCUGCCCUAUGCUUAUACAAUGAAACUAAUAAACAUUUCAAGAUCAGCAGUGACUAGAAAUCUCCAUUCUCAACUAAAUCAGAUCCUGCCUUAUAGAUGAUAUUGUCAAUGACUGUUCAAUGACCUCUGGUAGCUGAUCUCUGGUAAACCUCUACAUAAACCACAGAUGCUGUCAUGUUUAGUGGUACAAGCCACAAGACCAAAGACGUAAAUAGCUUGAAGACAGAACUGUUAUUUUCCUGCACUGUAGUGUUUUCUGUAGGUCAGAGCGAGGGUGUAUCAGCAUGGACAGCAUGGGUCAACUUCAAGCUCACUAAGAAGCAGUUUAUGCUAGAGCAAAACCCUUGUACAGGGCUGACUGGUGCUGAGUAUCAGGAGGCAUUGCCACGAAUGUUGUAAACCCUAUUCCCACCCAUCCAAAAUCCUCCUGCACAGAAAUCCUCAAACAUGCAAGCGACCAAAACAGGGGUGAAAUAAAAGUAACAAAUGGAUGUUUAUCAUUUAAUCUAUUUUUUAUGCAGUUGGAAAUAAAAACCAUUG
Harpia harpyja (harpy eagle) is the source of this 5798-nucleotide long non-coding RNA. RefSeq lists it as uncharacterized. The record is from RefSeq and is a predicted model, not a curated record. Lineage: Eukaryota; Metazoa; Chordata; Aves; Accipitriformes; Accipitridae. The transcript is spliced from 3 exons.